AAUCAAUUCAGAAUAUUCCAAUUCCACCCGCCAUGAAAAUUCAUCAAGGAUAUCCAAAAUAACCAUUUUAUAACUGCCCCCCCCCCCCCCCUCAUAAAUUCCGCGCUUCCGAUAGAAUUUAAUACAAAAUCCCCAAUACGCCAUAUUGAUGUAUAAUUUUUUCACCCCCACACCCCUACCCUGCAUAAUUGAACGUUGUGAAAACUAUCGCGCUGCUAAAUGACUCCCCCUCCAGUUUUCAACAUGGCCGCAAUCAAUAAUUUGACUGGGCAAUGACUGCGAUGACUUGCACAUGCGCACAGCGCCCAAGCCGAGUCAUCGGCAAAACCUGAACUUGACUUGGCGAAACCGAAAGUUGUGGCGAAUGUUUCUGUAGCAUUCUUGGCGUUUACAGACGUCAGAGGGGCACGUGUCUGUGGAGGUACACACGCUUAGAAAAAAAAUUAUGACAUUCUUGAUGAUUUAGAUCAAGAAAAUGAUUUUAAAGAUAAUGACGAAUUUAAAGAAGCAAUAUAUUAAGAAAAAGAAAAUGAUAUUGAUGUCAUUGAAGACAUAGUUUUAAGAAUGAUUAAUUUUGAUGUAAGCGAAACACGCAAAAGUCACGAAAGCGAGAGAGAGGCGAAUAGUGCUUGUACGCCUGACAUAAUAGCUAAAGUUAUAGUUCAGUAACGCCUGAAAGAGGGAUAUGUGGAACGUGAUGAUGAAAUUUUCGACGCAAUUUGUAUUUAAAUUG
Molecule: long non-coding RNA, 733 nt
Organism: Cydia splendana
Lineage: Eukaryota; Metazoa; Arthropoda; Insecta; Lepidoptera; Tortricidae
Exons: 2
Source: RefSeq, a predicted model, not a curated record